RNAcentral lists this ribosomal RNA (274 nucleotides) under uncultured bacterium. RNAcentral's name for it is "partial 16S ribosomal RNA". It matches the Rfam family "Bacterial small subunit ribosomal RNA", at positions 523 to 796 of the family's 1533-position model. The record is from RNAcentral.
AUACGGAGGGUGCAAGCGUUAAUCGGAAUUACUGGGCGUAAAGCGUGCGUAGGUGGUUUGUUAAGUCAGAUGUGAAAGCCCCGGGCUCAACCUGGGAACUGCAUUUGAAACUGGCAUACUAGAGUAUAGGAGAGGAAAGUGGAAUUUCAGGUGUAGCGGUGAAAUGCGUAGAUAUCUGAAGGAACAUCAAUGGCGAAGGCAGCUUUCUGGACUAAUACUGACACUGAGGUACGAAAGCGUGGGUAGCAAACAGGAUUAGAAACCCGGGUAGUCC